RNAcentral lists this transfer RNA (72 nucleotides) under Planctomycetaceae bacterium. RNAcentral describes it as "tRNA-Gln". It matches the Rfam family "tRNA". From Rfam's summary of the family: Transfer RNA (tRNA) molecules are approximately 80 nucleotides in length. Their secondary structure includes four short double-helical elements and three loops (D, anti-codon, and T loops). RNAcentral also lists the same sequence under 2 other names. The record is from RNAcentral. Lineage: Bacteria; Pseudomonadati; Planctomycetota; Planctomycetia; Planctomycetales; Planctomycetaceae.
UAGCCCGUGGUGUAAUUGGUAGCACGAGAGAUUCUGGUUCUCUUCGUCGGGGUUCGAGUCCCUGCGGGCUAA